Molecule: transfer RNA, 72 nt
Filed under: Camelus ferus (Wild Bactrian camel)
Lineage: Eukaryota; Metazoa; Chordata; Mammalia; Artiodactyla; Camelidae
Rfam family: tRNA
About the family: Transfer RNA (tRNA) molecules are approximately 80 nucleotides in length. Their secondary structure includes four short double-helical elements and three loops (D, anti-codon, and T loops). Further hydrogen bonds mediate the characteristic L-shaped molecular structure. tRNAs have two regions of fundamental functional importance: the anti-codon, which is responsible for specific mRNA codon recognition, and the 3' end, to which the tRNAs corresponding amino acid is attached (by aminoacyl-tRNA synthetases). tRNAs cope with the degeneracy of the genetic code in two manners: having more than one tRNA (with a specific anti-codon) for a particular amino acid; and 'wobble' base-pairing, i.e. permitting non-standard base-pairing at the 3rd anti-codon position.
Source: Rfam by way of RNAcentral
AGGGGUAUAGUUCAGUGGUAAAGUGCUUGCUUAGCAUGCUUGAGGUCCUGGGUUCAAUUCCCAGUACUUCCA